RNAcentral lists this ribosomal RNA (462 nucleotides) under uncultured bacterium. Its description in RNAcentral is "bacterial SSU rRNA". It matches the Rfam family "Bacterial small subunit ribosomal RNA", at positions 1 to 507 of the family's 1533-position model. The record is from RNAcentral.
AAGAGUUUGAUCCUGGCUCAGGAUGAACGCUAGCGGUGAGCCUAACACAUGCAAGUCGAACGGCACUCUGCUUCGGUAGAGUGAAGUGGCGAACGGGUGAGUAAUGCAUAAGAAUCCACCCAGUAGCGCGGGAUACCCUUCGGAAACGGAGGACAAAACCGCAUGAACCCCGAGGGGCAAAAGAUUUCUGCUACUGGUCGAGCUUAUGUUGGAUUAGCUAGUUGGUGAGGUAACGGCUUACCAAGGCUUAGAUCCAUAGCUGGUCUGUGAGGAUGAUCAGCCACAUUGGGACUGAGAUACGGCCCAGACUCCUACGGGAGGCAGCAGUGAGGAAUAUUGGACAACGAGCGAAAGCUUGGUCCAGCUACACCGCGUGGAUGAAGAAGGCCCUUGGGUUGUAAAGUCCUUUCAGCGGGGAAGAUAAUGACGUUACCCGCAGAAGAAGUCCCGGCUAAUUCCGUG